Molecule: ribosomal RNA, 383 nt
Filed under: Clostridioides difficile
Lineage: Bacteria; Bacillati; Bacillota; Clostridia; Peptostreptococcales; Peptostreptococcaceae
Description: bacterial SSU rRNA
Rfam family: Bacterial small subunit ribosomal RNA
Source: RNAcentral
AGCAGCCGCGGUAAUACGGAGGGGGCUAGCGUUAUCCGGAGUUACUGGGCGUAAAGGGUGCGUAGGCGGUCUUUCAAGUCAGGAGUGAAAGGCGACGGGUGAACCGUAGUAAGCUCUUGAAACUGGGGGACUUGAGUGCAGGAGAGGAGAGUGGAAUUCCUAGUGUAGCGGUGAAAUGCGUAGAUAUUAGGAGGAACACCAGUUGCGAAGGCGGCUCGCUGGACUGUAACUGACGCUGAGGCACGAAAGCGUGGGGAGCAAACAGGAUUAGAUACCCUGGUAGUCCACGCUGUAAACGAUGAGUACUAGGUGUCGGGGGUUACCCCCCUCGGUGCCGCAGCUAACGCAUUAAGUACUCCGCCUGGGAAGUACGCUCGCAAGAG